This 740-nucleotide ribosomal RNA is filed under the name Psora decipiens. Its description in RNAcentral is "partial 26S ribosomal RNA". The record is from RNAcentral. Lineage: Eukaryota; Fungi; Ascomycota; Lecanoromycetes; Lecanorales; Psoraceae.
AGCGCGGUCCUCGGUCCCGGCUGGCCGUAUUGCACAAGGAGCUAUAACACUCCCCGGAGGGAGCUACAUUCUCCGAGUCUUUGUCCGGCCGCCUGAACCGAUGCUGGCCUGAUCGCGGAUGAGUGCACGGCGCGAAAAGCACCGCUGAUCACCCGCGAGCAGGUCUGGUCGCAAGCGCUUCCCUUUCAACAAUUUCACGUGCUGUUUGACUCUCUUUCCAAAGUGCUUUUCAUCUUUCGAUCACUCUACUUGUGCGCUAUCGGUCUCUGGCCAAUAUUUAGCUUUAGAUGAAAUUUACCACCCAUUUUGAGCUGCAUUCCCAAACAACUCGACUCGUCGAAGGGGUUUCACAUGGGUUUGGCGACCGGUCACAUACGGGGUUCUCACCCUCUAUGACACCCUGUUCCAAAGGACUUAAACCGGCACCGUGCCCGAAACACCCUCUGCAAAUUACAACUCGGACCCCCAGGGGUCAGAUUUCAAAUUUGAGCUGUUGCCGCUUCACUCGCCGUUACUGAGGCAAUCCCUGUUGGUUUCUUUUCCUCCGCUUAUUGAUAUGCUUAAGUUCAGCGGGUAUCCCUACCUGAUCCGAGGUCAACCGUUGAAUUANNNAAAAAUCGGGUUAUAUGNNGCCGGACACGGGAGCGAACUUUCUAAACGGAUGAUANNUUACNUUCGUUCGUAAGCCGCUCCGGANCCGCCACUACUUUUGAGGUACGCCCUUUUUGGGGGGCGAAAAC